This 244-nucleotide ribosomal RNA is filed under the name uncultured bacterium. Its description in RNAcentral is "partial 16S ribosomal RNA". It matches the Rfam family "Bacterial small subunit ribosomal RNA", at positions 57 to 305 of the family's 1533-position model. The record is from RNAcentral.
GCAAGUCGAGCGAGAAAGCUUCUUCGGAAGUGAGUACAGCGGCGCACGGGUGCGUAACACGUGGGUUAUUUACCCUUUGGUGGGGGACAACAUCUCGAAAGGGGUGCUAAUACCGCAUAAGUCCACUUCGGUGGGGAAAGGCGGCUUCGGCUGUCGCCAGAGGAUGAGCCCGCGUCCCAUCAGCUAGUUGGUGAGGUAAUGGCUCACCAAGGCAUCGACGGGUAGCUGGUCUGAGAGGAUGAUC